This 784-nucleotide non-coding RNA is filed under the name Dyscolus rotundiceps. The record is from RNAcentral. Lineage: Eukaryota; Metazoa; Arthropoda; Insecta; Coleoptera; Carabidae.
AUAAAGUUUAAUUCUAGUUUAAAGAUUUAUUUAAUUUUUUUUUUACAUGUAAAUUUUUGUAGGAUGUUAGUUAAAUUUUAAAAAUUUAAUUAAAAUAAUUUAUUCGCAGUAUUUAAUUUUAAUAAUUUAAGAAAUUAAGAAUUAGAAAUAAAUUUUAAUAUUAACAAAUUUUGUGCCAGCAGUUGCGGUUAUACAAAAAAUAUAAAUGAAUUUUAUUAGUAAAUAAUUAUAUGAAUUAUUAAUAAAUUAAAAUAGUAUUUAUUAGGUGAAAUUUUAAGUAUUAAAUUAAUUUAUAAAAAAGUUUUUAUUAUUAUGAAAUUUAUAUUUAAACUAGGAUUAGAUACCCUAUUAUUUUAAAUGUAAAAAGUUUUACUUAAGUAGUAUUAGUUAUGUUCUUGAAAUUUAAAGAUUUUGGCGGUAUUUUAGUCUAUUUAGAGGAACCUGUUCUGUAAUUGAUAAUCCACGAUUAACUUUACUUAUUUUAUAAAUUUGUAUACCGUCGUUAUUAGAAAAUUUUAGCAGAAAAUAAAUUUUUAAUAUUUUAAAUUAAAAAAUAUAUCAGAUCAAGGUGCAGUAUAUAUCUAAGAAGAAAUGGGUUACAAUAAAUUUAUUUAUACGGAUUAAAGUAAGAAUAAUCUUUAUGAAGGUGGAUUUAAUAGUAAUAAAAUUUAAUUAAAUUUUAUGAUUUUAGCUCUAAAAUAUGUACAUAUCGCCCGUCGCUCUUAUUAUAAGGUAAGAUAAGUCGUAACAUAGUAGAUGUACUGGAAAGUGUAUCUAGAAUGAA